Molecule: ribosomal RNA, 452 nt
Filed under: uncultured bacterium
Lineage: Bacteria
Description: bacterial SSU rRNA
Rfam family: Bacterial small subunit ribosomal RNA
Source: RNAcentral
UACGGGAGGCAGCAGUGGGGAAUAUUGCACAAUGGGCGCAAGCCUGAUGCAGCCAUGCCGCGUGUAUGAAAAGGCCUUCGGGUUGUAAAGUACUUUCAGUCGUGAGGAAGGUGUUAAGGUUAAUAACCUUAGCAAUUGACGUUAGCGACAGAAGAAGCACCGGCUAACUCCGUGCCAGCAGCCGCGGUAAUACGGAGGGUGCGAGCGUUAAUCGGAAUUACUGGGCGUAAAGGGCACGCAGGCGGUUAAUUAAGUUGGAUGUGAAAUCCCCGGGCUUAACCUGGGAAUGGCAUUCAAGACUGGUUAGCUAGAGUCUUGUAGAGGGGGUAGAAUUCCAUGUGUAGCGGUGAAAUGCGUAGAGAUGUGGAGGAAUACCGGUGGCGAAGGCGGCCCCUGGGACAAGACUGACGCUCAUGUGCGAAAGCGUGGGGAGCAAACAGGGAUUAGAUACC